This 494-nucleotide ribosomal RNA is filed under the name uncultured bacterium. Its description in RNAcentral is "bacterial SSU rRNA". It matches the Rfam family "Bacterial small subunit ribosomal RNA", at positions 28 to 511 of the family's 1533-position model. The record is from RNAcentral.
GAUGAACGCUAGCUACAGGCUUAACACAUGCAAGUCGAGGGGCAGCAUGGUCUUAGCUUGCUAAGGCCGAUGGCGACCGGCGCACGGGUGAGUAACACGUAUCCAACCUGCCGUCUACUCUUGGACAGCCUUCUGAAAGGAAGAUUAAUACAAGAUGGCAUCAUGAGUCCGCAUGUUCACAUGAUUAAAGGUAUUCCGGUAGACGAUGGGGAUGCGUUCCAUUAGAUAGUAGGCGGGGUAACGGCCCACCUAGUCUUCGAUGGAUAGGGGUUCUGAGAGGAAGGUCCCCCACAUUGGAACUGAGACACGGUCCAAACUCCUACGGGAGGCAGCAGUGAGGAAUAUUGGUCAAUGGGCGAGAGCCUGAACCAGCCAAGUAGCGUGAAGGAUGACUGCCCUAUGGGUUGUAAACUUCUUUUAUAAAGGAAUAAAGUCGGGUAUGGAUACCCGUUUGCAUGUACUUUAUGAAUAAGGAUCGGCUAACUCCGUGCCAG